Chinchilla lanigera (long-tailed chinchilla) is the source of this 111-nucleotide long non-coding RNA. RefSeq lists it as uncharacterized. The record is from RefSeq and is a predicted model, not a curated record. Lineage: Eukaryota; Metazoa; Chordata; Mammalia; Rodentia; Chinchillidae. The transcript is spliced from 3 exons.
CUCUGCCUCCUAGCCGCCAUGAGUUGACGCAUUUUCCUCCACCAUGUGCCUCUGCCAUUUUGUUUCUGCCUUUGAGCCAGCCAGCCGUGGACUAAAACUAAGCUUUCACAG